Molecule: ribosomal RNA, 1492 nt
Filed under: Staphylococcus aureus
Lineage: Bacteria; Bacillati; Bacillota; Bacilli; Caryophanales; Staphylococcaceae
Description: partial 23S ribosomal RNA
Rfam family: Bacterial large subunit ribosomal RNA
Source: RNAcentral
UCGAUUCCCUUAGUAGCGGCGAGCGAAACGGGAAGAGCCCAAACCAACAAGCUUGCUUGUUGGGGUUGUAGGACACUCUAUACGGAGUUACAAAGGACGACAUUAGACGAAUCAUCUGGAAAGAUGAAUCAAAGAAGGUAAUAAUCCUGUAGUCGAAAAUGUUGUCUCUCUUGAGUGGAUCCUGAGUACGACGGAGCACGUGAAAUUCCGUCGGAAUCUGGGAGGACCAUCUCCUAAGGCUAAAUACUCUCUAGUGACCGAUAGUGAACCAGUACCGUGAGGGAAAGGUGAAAAGCACCCCGGAAGGGGAGUGAAAUAGAACCUGAAACCGUGUGCUUACAAGUAGUCAGAGCCCGUUAAUGGGUGAUGGCGUGCCUUUUGUAGAAUGAACCGGCGAGUUACGAUUUGAUGCAAGGUUAAGCAGUAAAUGUGGAGCCGUAGCGAAAGCGAGUCUGAAUAGGGCGUUUAGUAUUUGGUCGUAGACCCGAAACCAGGUGAUCUACCCUUGGUCAGGUUGAAGUUCAGGUAACACUGAAUGGAGGACCGAACCGACUUACGUUGAAAAGUGAGCGGAUGAACUGAGGGUAGCGGAGAAAUUCCAAUCGAACCUGGAGAUAGCUGGUUCUCUCCGAAAUAGCUUUAGGGCUAGCCUCAAGUGAUGAUUAUUGGAGGUAGAGCACUGUUUGGACGAGGGGCCCCUCUCGGGUUACCGAAUUCAGACAAACUCCGAAUGCCAAUUAAUUUAACUUGGGAGUCAGAACAUGGGUGAUAAGGUCCGUGUUCGAAAGGGAAACAGCCCAGACCACCAGCUAAGGUCCCAAAAUAUAUGUUAAGUGGAAAAGGAUGUGGCGUUGCCCAGACAACUAGGAUGUUGGCUUAGAAGCAGCCAUCAUUUAAAGAGUGCGUAAUAGCUCACUAGUCGAGUGACACUGCGCCGAAAAUGUACCGGGGCUAAACAUAUUACCGAAGCUGUGGAUUGUCCUUUGGACAAUGGUAGGAGAGCGUUCUAAGGGCGUUGAAGCAUGAUCGUAAGGACAUGUGGAGCGCUUAGAAGUGAGAAUGCCGGUGUGAGUAGCGAAAGACGGGUGAGAAUCCCGUCCACCGAUUGACUAAGGUUUCCAGAGGAAGGCUCGUCCGCUCUGGGUUAGUCGGGUCCUAAGCUGAGGCCGACAGGCGUAGGCGAUGGAUAACAGGUUGAUAUUCCUGUACCACCUAUAAUCGUUUUAAUCGAUGGGGGGACGCAGUAGGAUAGGCGAAGCGUGCGAUUGGAUUGCACGUCUAAGCAGUAAGGCUGAGUAUUAGGCAAAUCCGGUACUCGUUAAGGCUGAGCUGUGAUGGGGAGAAGACAUUGUGUCUUCGAGUCGUUGAUUUCACACUGCCGAGAAAAGCCUCUAGAUAGAAAAUAGGUGCCCGUACCGCAAACCGACACAGGUAGUCAAGAUGAGAAUUCUAAGGUGAGCGAGCGAACUCUCGUUAAGGAACUCGGCAAAAU